Molecule: non-coding RNA, 1492 nt
Organism: Microcebus murinus (gray mouse lemur)
Lineage: Eukaryota; Metazoa; Chordata; Mammalia; Primates; Cheirogaleidae
Source: RefSeq, a predicted model, not a curated record
UAUGUCAAAGUGACUUAGCUCCUCUAAGCAAAACUGUAAGACUUCAUUCCCACUGAUACGAUUUCACACAGUAAACUUUGUCAGCAUAUGAUUUUAGAGAACAAAGUUUCUCAUGAAUUAAAAAAAAAAGUCCAUCUUGUGGAGAGACGAAGACUGAGCGGUUGCGGCUGUGUUGUCGACUUUGAGCAGCACUCAGUUUCUGCACGUAGAACCUGGGAUUAAGAGAUUCAGAAUUGAAUCUCUUCUCCCUCCCCCCUCCUGUGAGAUUUUUUUGAUCUUCAGCUACAUUUUUCGGCUUCGUGAGGAACCUUAUCAUCAAACGCAACGGCUAGCAAUGUCACCAACAAGACAGAUCCUCGCUCCGUGAACUCCCGUGUAUUCAUUGGGAAUCUCAACACUCUUGUGGUCAAGAAGUCUGAUGUGGAGGCAAUCUUCUCGAAAUAUGGCAAAAUUGUGGGUUGUUCUGUUCAUAAAGGCUUUGCCUUCGUUCAGUAUGUUAAUGGGCAAAAUGCCCGGGCUGCUGUAGCAGGAGAGGAUGGCAGAAUGAUUGCUGGCCCAGUUUUAGAUAUUAAUCUGGCUGCAGAGCCAAAAGUGAAUCGAGGAAAAGCAGGUGUGAAAUGAUCUGCAGCGGAAAUGUACGGCUCCUCUUUUGACUUGGACUAUGACUUUCAACGGGAUUAUUAUGACAGGAUGUACAGUUACCCAGCACGUGUUCCUCCUCUUCCUCCUAUUGCUUGGGCUGUGGUGCCCUCAAAACGCCAGCGUGUAUCAGGAAACACCUCACGAAGGGGGAAAAGUGGCUUCAAUUCUAAGAGUAGACAGCGGAGUUCUUCUUCCAAGUCUGGAAAGUUGAAAGGAGAUGACCUUCAGGCCAUUAAGAAGGAAUUGACUCAGAUAAAACAAAAAGUGGAUUCUCUACUGGAAAACCUGGAAAAACGUGAAAAGGAACAGAGCAAACAAGCAGUAGAGAUGAAGAAUGAUAAGUCAGAAGAGGGGCAGAGCAGCAGCUCCCAGAAGAAAGAUGAGACUAAUGUGAAGAUGGAGUCUGAGGGGGGUGCAGAUGACUCUACUGAGGAGGGGGACCUACUGGAUGAUGAUGAUAAUGAAGAUGGGGGGGAUGACCAGCUGGAGUUGAUCAAGGAUGAUGAAAAAGAGGCUGAGGAAGGAGAGGAUGACAGAGACGGCGCCAAUGGUGAGGAUGACUCUUAAGCACAUAGUGGGGUUUAGAAAUCUUAUCCCAUUAUUUCUUUACCUAGGCGCUUGUCUAAGAUCAAAAUUUUCACCAGAUCCUCUCCCCUAGUAUCUUCAGCACAUGCUCACUGUUCUCCCCAUCCUUGUCCUUCCCACUUUCAUUAAUUCAUAUUGCCCUGCGCCUAGUCCCAUUUUCACUUCCUUUGAUGCUCCUAGUAGUUAAGUCUUACCCUGUAACUUUUUGCUUUUAAUUUUGAUACCUCUUUGACUUAACAAUAAAAAGGAUGUAUGGUUUUUAUCA